AACAGGCUUGAGCUUGGGGCGUAUUUUAUUGGUAUUACCUUUUGUAUCAUGAUUUGGGGAGUAGAAGGGUGUAUACCUGGUGUUAGAAAAGUGAUGAUUUUUCUUUUUUAUUUUUCUUGUGAAAAGAGGAGUAUAAAAAAUGUAAUGUAGUGAUAAGUUAAUCGGGUCAUUUUAUAACUAGUGGCGGGGUAUGUCAUUAUGCUAACUUCUUUGGCUUAGAUGUCUGAGAGGAGAUUAUAAGAAUUGUAGAUUUUACAAAUGUUGGGUUUAAAGGUAUCCGAAGGUUGGUAGUGUUACAACUCUGUUGGUUGUGUGUUAUUUUUUAUGUGGAGCCCCGCGUUAAAAUUAUUAGAUAAGCAGUAUCCUAGAAUGAGUAGAUUAUUAGCUAAACAAGGUUUUGAGUUAACUUGCACUGUUUAUUACAAACAUUUCCGCAAUAAAAUAUUUGCGGUAUAACCUGCUCAGUGUAAAUUAACAGCCGCAGUAUUUUGACUGUGCUAAGGUAGCAUAAUUACUUGUCCCCUAAAUAGGGAAUUGUUUGAAUGGUUUAUUGGGGUUAUACUAGAUUCUUUAGCUGUGUGAAAUUAGGGUAUGGGUAAAGAUUCCCAUGUUAAAAUAAAAGACGGAAAGACCCCGAGAGCUUAUGGUUUAAUUUACUUGGGGCGAGGGUCUUUAUUCAAAGACAUUGUGAUCCUGAAUGUAGUUUAAUGGUUAAGUUACCUCGGGGAUAACAGGGUAAGAAGUAAGGAGAGAUCACAUCGAUUUACUUAGGUGCCACCUCGAUGUUGACUUAAAGUAACCCUGGGAAGCAGUAUUCUCGUGGGUAGGCCUGUUCGGCCUUUAAAUCUUUUCAUGAGUUGAGUUGAGACCGGUGUAAGCCAGGUCGGUUCCUAUCUAUAAGUUUGUUUUUCUAGUACGAAAGGAUUGAGAAACUUUUAAGUUGGGGAGGG
Molecule: ribosomal RNA, 950 nt
Filed under: Cichlidogyrus sclerosus
Lineage: Eukaryota; Metazoa; Platyhelminthes; Monogenea; Dactylogyridea; Ancyrocephalidae
Description: 16S ribosomal RNA
Rfam family: Bacterial large subunit ribosomal RNA (bases 590-950)
Source: RNAcentral